This is a long non-coding RNA of Amphiprion ocellaris (clown anemonefish), 304 nucleotides long. RefSeq lists it as uncharacterized. The transcript is spliced from 3 exons. The record is from RefSeq and is a predicted model, not a curated record. NCBI's taxonomy places the organism in Eukaryota, Metazoa, Chordata, Actinopteri, Pomacentridae.
UCCACAGACAGUUUUCCUGCCCGUUGGCUUGUUUUAACCAGUUUUCUGCCUUCGGCUGAUUGUACCAGCAGACACUGAAAGGACUCUGAUAGUUCGAGUGAAAGUAGCAGUUCCUCCUGAAGGUCAGAGAUUGCAGCAUCUGAGGGCCUCUUCAAAAGAAGACGUAGUUGAUGAAGGCGUUCUGGAGCAGGACCAGAAAGACCACGACCAAGCAGCCUUGAGAUCUUAGACAGCGUCUCCCUCAGGUCCCUCUCUAUCUCCCCACACAUCCACCAACCACUGGAACACAUCUCCAAAGUUCUGC